RNAcentral lists this ribosomal RNA (431 nucleotides) under uncultured bacterium. RNAcentral describes it as "bacterial SSU rRNA". It matches the Rfam family "Bacterial small subunit ribosomal RNA", at positions 29 to 507 of the family's 1533-position model. The record is from RNAcentral.
AACGAACGCUGGCGGCAGGCCUAACACAUGCAAGUCGAGCGAGGUAGCAAUACCUAGCGGCGGACGGGUGAGUAACGCGUGGGAACGUACCCUUUGCUACGGAAUAGCCCCGGGAAACUGGGAGUAAUACCGUAUGUGCCCUUCGGGGGAAGAUUUAUCGGCAAAGGAUCGGCCCGCGUUGGAUUAGGUAGUUGGUGGGGUAAUGGCCUACCAAGCCGACGAUCCAUAGCUGGUUUGAGAGGAUGAUCAGCCACACUGGGACUGAGACACGGCCCAGACUCCUACGGGAGGCAGCAGUGGGGAAUCUUAGACAAUGGGCGCAAGCCUGAUCUAGCCAUGCCGCGUGAGUGAUGAAGGCCUUAGGGUUGUAAAGCUCUUUCAGAUGGGAAGAUAAUGACGGUACCAUCAGAAGAAGCCCGGCUAACUCCGUG